UUUGUGCUCUUGAAAAUAUGAGGUUUAGCUUCGAUUCUUCUUCACCUUAAGGACAUGUAUAAAAUUAAAUUUCUGAAUGGAUAUCGAUUGAUUAUCAUAUUUCGAUAUUGAAUCAAGCAUAAAUCAAUUAUUUUCGUAAUAUAAAUAGGUGCAUGUCGUUCAAAAUUGAAUUAAUUACGUGAAGUAAAUAAGGCUUUGCAUACCGCUAUUUAGGUGUUCAACGUUAUACGUUAUUAAAAGUCUGAAAGACCAACUAUGAAGAUGUUUUACGCAAACUUUCAUGAAUUGUCUGGACUUAAAGUUUGCUUAAGUUACCCUUAAACCAGGGUCACUCAUCCUCUACUAAGAAUGCCCAAAUUAUGCGCUAUAGCUGAUUCCUGGAGAAAUUCUUGGUCCUAGUGCAAUUCUCGUUGGAUCCAAGAGAUCUCUGUGGCAUAAACGAUACCUCGCAAAUCUGACCGAUUGCUUGCAUCUGUCCAGGAAUUCAUCAAUAAUUUUGAAAAUAAUGUUUUCAAUCAAUAAACAAAAUCUACCCAAGAAUACUUAGGCGACCUUUCCAUUUAUUCAUUUCCCGUUUUUCCACGAUUUCCCGGAUUUUCCGCUUUUCGGAAAAAAUUCCCGUUUUUUCCGCGAUUUCCCGGAUGGCUGGAUACCCAUAAUAAGAGACGAACUCUUCAAAUAGUGAUCUAAGAACAGAAUGUCUAUAAGCAUUUUAAAAAUGUCAAAAUUGCAUCAAAUUCUGAAGUUCGAAUGUAAACCCUUAUAUUUUCUCGAUUUUGACAUGACAUGAAAUAUCAUACUACAACUCUCAACUUUUAUAUUCGUUAUGCUUAACUGAUUAACAAUAAUAAUAUUAUUUAGUUUAGUAUGUUGUGGGUUCCACACUAUCAGAUUUUACGGUACGAAACUUUUUCUUACGAAAACUGCUAUUAUUUUGAGUGUUUAAUUUUCUAGCAGACGCUUCGAAAAUUUAAAUUUUAUUUAACGUAGAAAAUUGAUCAUAUUUGUAGUUCUCUGUGAAAACAUCAUCAUAAUUACUCUUACGGAAAUAAAGUUAUAACAUGGCAAAGUCUAGUAUAAAAUUCACGUAUGAAAUAUGGCCAUCACCACUUUUAAUCCGGACACAACUGUACGUAGUAAUUUUUAGACUGCCAAGUAUCGAUUACCUCUACGACACCGAACUACCUAUAUACACGGAGAAAACGGAAAAUACUAUUUACCAUAUUAUUUAUGACAUUCUAGACAUUAGCCCUCUUUAAUCGAUGCAACUGAUAACAAAUAUGCUUGGCUUUAAUAUUUUUAUACUUUAUCAAUCAUAUUGAUGAGUUAUAAUCAGCUGUGCAUAAAGCAAAGCAGAUAUUAUUCUGGCGACUUUGUAAAAUUUGCUAGUAAUUUUCUCUACCUAGUACGGAACGGAAGCCAUUGCAAAAAUUGCCAAUUUUCACCUGUGUUUUCAUAAGCUCAAUUUCAAGAUAAAUUACAUUCAAAUAAUCAUGUACUAUUCACGAAAACAAGCUCGUUCUGUUUGGCCUCGGCUUAGAGCGCAUCGCGGAAGCCUCCAUUUUUCGAUCUGGAAACGGUAUUCCAGGAUCUUUGCUGGCACCCUAUCAACACCAAGCAACUAGAAUCAAUGGUAAUUUAAUAGUGAGAAACUGUUCCGCAAAGAAUCAGACGAUUGUGUUGUGUCCCGCUACUCCGAAUCGGAUCCGUACGAUGUGCGAUGUUGUUCUUGGUUCGG
This 1738-nucleotide long non-coding RNA is filed under the name Aedes aegypti (yellow fever mosquito). RNAcentral describes it as "lncRNA AAEL028078". The record is from RNAcentral. Lineage: Eukaryota; Metazoa; Arthropoda; Insecta; Diptera; Culicidae.